GAUGAACGCUGGCGGCGUGCCUAAUACAUGCAAGUCGAGCGAACGGACGAGAAGCUUGCUUCUCUGAUGUUAGCGGCGGACGGGUGAGUAACACGUGGAUAACCUACCUAUAAGACUGGGAUAACUUCGGGAAACCGGAGCUAAUACCGUAUAAUAUUUUGAGCCGCAUGGUUCAAUAGUGAAAGACGGUCUUGCUGUCACUUAUAGCUGGAUCCGCGCUGCAUUAGCUAGUUGGUAAGGUAACGGCUUACCAAGGCAACGAUGCAUAUCCGACCUGAGAGGGUGAUCGGCCACACGGGAACUGAGACAAGGUCCAGACGACUAAGGGAGGCAGCAGUAGGGAAUCUUCCGCAAUGGGCGAAAGCCUGACGGAGCAACGCCGCGUGAGUGAUGAAGGUCUUCGGAUCGUAAAACUCUGUUAUUAGGGAAGAACAUAUGUGUAAGUAACUGUGCACAUCUUGACGGUACCUAAUCAGAAAGCCACGGCUAACUACGUG
This 497-nucleotide ribosomal RNA is filed under the name uncultured bacterium. RNAcentral's name for it is "partial 16S ribosomal RNA". It matches the Rfam family "Bacterial small subunit ribosomal RNA", at positions 28 to 507 of the family's 1533-position model. The record is from RNAcentral.